GGCAAUGGAUAUGUCUUGUAAAUGAAGAUGAGCCAAUUCUAUAAAAGUGACAUUGCUUACCCUCAAAUACAUUUCAUAUCAAGAUCAGAGAAUCCCAAGUAGUUUUGUUACUUUAUGUCACGAGAACAAAAUGUACUGUUUUAUGCCCUCUGGUGUACAGUGCUGGUACUGCACUGCUGCUUUGCCCUCUGUAAGUGCAUUCACCUCUGCUCUCCUGCAGGCAGCGCUAAAGAGCACACAGUGCUGAAGAAGGCAGAGCAGUACGGUUGCCAGCGGCAACAUGUGGAGCCUCCACCGGCAGACAUGGAGCUGAUUUUACCCUGGAGGUGAGAGAUGGGGACGACUUUGAGCUGAUUUUACCCUGGAGGUGAGAGUUGGGGACGACUUUGAGCUGAUUUUACCCUGGAGGUGAGAGUUGGGGACGACUUUGAGCUGAUUUUACCCACCCUGGAGGUGAGAGUUGGGGACGACUUUGAGCUGAUUUUACCCUGGAGGUGAGAGAUGGGGACGACUUGGAGCUGAUUUUACCCGCCCUGGAGGUGAGAGUUGGGGACGACUUUGAGCUGAUUUUACCCUGGAGGUGAGAGUUGGGGACGACUUUGAGCUGAUUUUACACACCCUGGAGGUGAGAGUUGGGGACGACUUUGAGCUGAUUUCACACACCCUGGAGGUGAGAGUUGGG
Long non-coding RNA from Clupea harengus (Atlantic herring), 682 nucleotides. Lineage: Eukaryota; Metazoa; Chordata; Actinopteri; Clupeiformes; Clupeidae. The record is from Ensembl.